RNAcentral lists this transfer RNA (67 nucleotides) under Drosophila mercatorum. Its description in RNAcentral is "tRNA-Trp". It matches the Rfam family "tRNA". Rfam says of the family: Transfer RNA (tRNA) molecules are approximately 80 nucleotides in length. Their secondary structure includes four short double-helical elements and three loops (D, anti-codon, and T loops). Further hydrogen bonds mediate the characteristic L-shaped molecular structure. tRNAs have two regions of fundamental functional importance: the anti-codon, which is responsible for specific mRNA codon recognition, and the 3' end, to which the tRNAs corresponding amino acid is attached (by aminoacyl-tRNA synthetases). tRNAs cope with the degeneracy of the genetic code in two manners: having more than one tRNA (with a specific anti-codon) for a particular amino acid; and 'wobble' base-pairing, i.e. permitting non-standard base-pairing at the 3rd anti-codon position. The record is from RNAcentral. Lineage: Eukaryota; Metazoa; Arthropoda; Insecta; Diptera; Drosophilidae.
AAGGCUUUAAGUUAAAUAAACUGUUAGCCUUCAAAGCUGUAAAUAUAGGAUUAUCCUUUAAGCCUUA